UACAGAGGGUGCAAGCGUUGCUCGGAAUCAUUGGGCGUAAAGGGUAGGUAGGUGGUCUCAUUUGUCUCGGGUGAAAGCCUUGGGCUUAACCCAAGAGGUGCCCGAGAAACGGUGAGACUGGAGUCCUGGAGAGGGUCGUGGAAUUCCCGGUGUAGCGGUGAAAUGCGUAGAGAUCGGGAGGAACACCAGAGGCGAAGGCGGCGACCUGGACAGGUACUGACACUCAACUACGAAAGCGUGGGGAGCAAACAGG
This 253-nucleotide ribosomal RNA is filed under the name uncultured bacterium. RNAcentral describes it as "partial 16S ribosomal RNA". It matches the Rfam family "Bacterial small subunit ribosomal RNA", at positions 524 to 776 of the family's 1533-position model. The record is from RNAcentral.